Molecule: ribosomal RNA, 304 nt
Filed under: uncultured bacterium
Lineage: Bacteria
Description: partial 16S ribosomal RNA
Rfam family: Bacterial small subunit ribosomal RNA
Source: RNAcentral
CAGCAGCCGCCGCGGGAAUACAGAGGGUGCGAGCGUUAAUCGGAUUUACUGGGCGUAAAGCGUGCGUAGGCGGCUUUUUAAGUCGGAUGUGAAAUCCCUGAGCUUAACUUAGGAAUUGCAUUCGAUACUGGGAAGCUAGAGUAUGGGAGAGGAUGGUAGAAUUCCAGGUGUAGCGGUGAAAUGCGUAGAGAUCUGGAGGAAUACCGAUGGCGAAGGCAGCCAUCUGGCCUAAUACUGACGCUGAGGUACGAAAGCAUGGGGAGCAAACAGGAUUAGAUACCCCGGUAGUCCCUGUCUCUUAUAC